UACGUAGGGUGCAAGCGUUAUCCGGAAUUAUUGGGCGUAAAGAGCUUGUAGGCGGUUUGUCGCGUCUGCCGUGAAAUUUCGAGGCUCAACCUCGAACUUGCGGUGGGUACGGGCAGACUAGAGUGUGGUAGGGGAGACUGGAAUUCCUGGUGUAGCGGUGAAAUGCGCAGAUAUCAGGAGGAACACCGAUGGCGAAGGCAGGUCUCUGGGCCACUACUGACGCUGAGAAGCGAAAGCAUGGGGAGCGAACAGG
This 253-nucleotide ribosomal RNA is filed under the name uncultured bacterium. RNAcentral describes it as "partial 16S ribosomal RNA". It matches the Rfam family "Bacterial small subunit ribosomal RNA", at positions 524 to 776 of the family's 1533-position model. The record is from RNAcentral.